Molecule: transfer RNA, 73 nt
Filed under: Paramuricea clavata
Lineage: Eukaryota; Metazoa; Cnidaria; Anthozoa; Malacalcyonacea; Plexauridae
Rfam family: tRNA
About the family: Transfer RNA (tRNA) molecules are approximately 80 nucleotides in length. Their secondary structure includes four short double-helical elements and three loops (D, anti-codon, and T loops).
Source: Rfam by way of RNAcentral
CUCUCUGUAGCUCAGUUGGUUAGAGCGCUGCACCGGAAUCACAGGGCCGCAAGUUCGAUUCCUGUCAAAGAGC